Molecule: ribosomal RNA, 660 nt
Filed under: Drosophila neohypocausta
Lineage: Eukaryota; Metazoa; Arthropoda; Insecta; Diptera; Drosophilidae
Description: eukaryotic LSU rRNA
Rfam family: Eukaryotic large subunit ribosomal RNA
Source: RNAcentral
GAAAUCAGUUCAGCACUAAGUCACUUUGUCUAUAUGGCAAAUGUGAGAUGCAGUGUAUGGAGCGUCAAUAUUCUAGUAUGAGAAAUUAACGAUUUAAGUCCUUCUUAAAUGAGGCCAUUUACCCAUAGAGGGUGCCAGGCCCGUAUAACGUUAAUGAUUAUUAGAUGAUGUUUCCAAAGAGUCGUGUUGCUUGAUAGUGCAGCACUAAGUGGGUGGUAAACUCCAUCUAAAACUAAAUAUAACCAUGAGACCGAUAGUAAACAAGUACCGUGAGGGAAAGUUGAAAAGAACUCUGAAUAGAGAGUUAAAUAGUACGUGAAACUGCUUAGAGGUUAAGCCCGAUGAACCUGAAUAUCCGUUAUGGAAAAUUCAUCAUUAGAAUUGUAGUAUUUAAUCAAUAUUAUAAUAAUAGUGUGCAUUUUUUCCAUAUAAGGACAUUGUAAUCUAUUAGCAUGUAUGGAAUUUAUCAAACAAUUUUGAUAAGAGUUUAUUUAAAUUAGAGUGCUUGCAUUUUAACACAAAAUAAAUUUCAAAAAUUUGAUAAAGUGCUGAUAGAUUUAUAUGAAUACAGUGCGUUAAUUUUUCGGAAUUAUAUAAUGGCAUAAUUAUCAUUGAUUUUUGUGUUUAUUAUAAGCACUUGUAUGAUUAACAAUGCGAAAG